AAGACUAUAGACCUGCGGAGUACCUGCGGAGGGAUCAUUACAGAGUUGCAAAACUCCCUAAACCAUUGUGAACGUUACCUAAACCGUUGCUUCGGCGGGCGGCGCGCCCUCGCGCGCGCCCCUGGGCCCCACCGCGGGCGCCCGCCGGAGGUCACCAAACUCUUGAUAUGAAUUGGCCUCUCUGAGUCUUCUGUACUGAAUAAGUCAAAACUUUCAACAAUGGAUCUCUAGAUCGGAAGA
Molecule: unclassified non-coding RNA, 240 nt
Filed under: soil metagenome
Description: partial contains 5.8S ribosomal RNA, internal transcribed spacer 2, and large subunit ribosomal RNA
Source: RNAcentral